Molecule: long non-coding RNA, 4245 nt
Filed under: Medicago truncatula (barrel medic)
Lineage: Eukaryota; Viridiplantae; Streptophyta; Magnoliopsida; Fabales; Fabaceae
Description: long non-coding RNA (MTRU_LNC008798)
Source: RNAcentral
UCAAUUUUUAUUUGGCAUGCUUUCGAAAUUUUGUAAUAGCAUGUAACUUGCCAACUUGAUAUCUUUGGUUUAAAUUGUAUUUGGAGAGCAUUAUGUGAUAUAUUAUCUGAAGUGUAUUGGGUAGUUGUCACUGAUUUGGCUUAGUUAUAAGUUAAUGAAUUGACUAGUUUCUAUUGAUAUUGGGAUGUAAUUCUAAUUAAUUUUCAUUGAGAUGAGAUGAUUAGAGUAUCCACAACCUACCUUACGGGUAUGGGAGAGAUUGCUCCCCCCAAUGAUUUCAAGUGUAUUUUUGUGGGUUAAAGGGGUCAUUCAUAUAAGAAACCCCAAAAUCUCUUUUCCAAUUGCUGUUGAUGGUGGUUUCAUACCCGUCAUAUCCCCCUAUAAGGAUGAGGUUGGGACGUGAUUAGUUUUGCUUGUCCUUGCUUGACCAAACAACACAUUUCCUAUAAGGCAUAAUGAAGAAGAAGGUAGCUUUCUAUUCCUUUUUUUUGUUUCUUUUUGAAUGUAUGUAUCUAAGCUUUUAGCAUAGUUGAAUAGAAACACUUGGAUUUUGGGAGAAUUCAUAUACACCUAUGUAUAAGUAAGUUCCCAUCGAAUCUAACAUACCACGAUGCUAUGCUACAAGUGAAAUAACCAAUUUCUAAUGAAUGUUGGUUCAAUUAUUAAAAAGUUGAAUACUAGGUUGCAAGAGUAUGAGUUCAACUUUCACCGUGGUACAAUUAUUUUUGUGUGAAUGAUAUAGAAAUAAUAAUACCUCUAUUUUAUUUGAACUUUUGAAUAAAAAUAGUGGUUGAUAGAAAGUUUUAUUUUCUUAUCAUAGAUUAUGGAUUGUAACCAAAAAAAAUCAUAGAUUAUGGAAAACAGUUAGUUCUUUUUCUUUCCUUUUUGUACCUAUUCGUCUCAAAAUAAGUUAUUUAAUUUGACUAUGUGUAUUAUUCACAUGACAUAUUCUGAUUAUUUUUCAACAUAAAAAAAUGAAAAUUUGGGUGGAAAACAAUUAAAAUAUCCCGAACCAUUAAUAAUUUGGUGGAAAACAAAUAAAAUAUCCUCAGAAGCUGAUUAUGGCUUCACCGUUGUAUUGUUCAUGUGAAAAAUGACAUUAGAAUUAGAAUUUAGAAAUUUUCAAAGUAUAAUCACUUAUCGCAAAUUUACAAAAUUUAUAUGCUCCCUGAUAACAUAGAUUUAUAUGCUCCCUGAUAACAUAGUUAAAAAUAAAUAAAUUACUCAAAACUGAAGUAUCACAAGUAUAAAAAAAGCAGAAACAACAAGUAGAACAUGAAAUGAAACAUAAAGAAGGAAGAAGAAAAGCAACGGUAUGAAAUAGAAGCAGAUUAUCAACAAAAUGAAAGAGAAGCAAGAACAGGGAGAGGAAGAAGUAAAGACAGUAAGAAUCGAAAUAAAAUUAAAAAUGAGCAAUCCUUUUUUUUUCUUCUUCUUGGAAACUUACAUUGAAAUAUGGCAAUGAGAAUUUAUAAGUUGUAAUGCAUUUAGAUUAGGCUUUAGAGCAAUAAUAUUUGUCUACAUCACAAUAGGUAAUAUUUGCUUGCCGUCUUGAACAUGUUUUGGAGGUUCAACCGAAUAAAAAUGUCAUUUUUGAGAGGCAUCAGUUAUUUUGACUCUUUGCACACAAUUAAAUCUUAAGUAUUGUUUAAAAGAAAACAAAGUUUUAGUUUUUUUUUUACAUGAAAUAAUUUUUUUUUUUAAAAAAACUAAGUCCUAAUAAAGGACACUUCAAUAAUAACCUAAUUGGAUUGGCUUGUGGUAGUGGUUUGGGAUCUUAUAGUGUAUCCCUCUCAAGGUCAUAGGUUUGAUGUUCUUCGUUAUCAAAUUCGAUGGUCUAGUUUGACUUUUAAAAAUAAAAAUAUUUUUAUAAUUUUUUUGUUGUUGAAGGAAUCUAUAUCUAUACUAUACAUAAAGAAAACUAUCCCUUUCAGCACUUUUGGGUUGAAUUUUUCUUUUCAAAAAUACCCUCAAUUUUCAAUACAAAAUAACACAUGUAACAAAUAGAUAAGAAUAAAUUUAAAUAUUAAAACAAAUGCAACAAACAUUUGUUUUUAUAACUUGUAUUAUUGUCGGUGCCGUUGACACAGAUAAUCAUGGUCAGUUUAAUUUUUUAUAACUUGAAAUCAACAAACAUUUACAUUUUUAUUAGUUUUAAUCAAAAUCGAAAUUUCAUAAAAAAAAACAAGGUUCAUAAUUUUCAAACGUUAACGGCGCAAUAAAAACAGUGGAAAGACGGGCACAUGAGCGCCCGUCUUUUCGCUAGUUUUUAUAAAGUAAAUGUAACCUAAUUAACUUGUUAUUUUUCCUUUAGUAAAAAAAAAAAAGUUGAUGAUGUUCCUUUUUGUCCAAAAGUAUUUAUAUUUAAAUCAAUUCCCAUUUUCUUUGUUUUUCCCGAAUUUUUUUUACUCAAAUAAAUUUCCAUUUAACUGAGUAAUUAGUAUUGAACAUUUCUUCAAAAUAAAAAAACUAAUGUAUUGAACAUGUUAAAUAGCUAGAAAAAUAAAGAAGACUAUCAUUAGGGAAAUGUUAAAUGUACUGAACAUUUUUCUUUUUGGUGUUUGAUGUACUCAACAUUCGAAGAUGCAAGGAUUCAAUUGUCACUUUCAACAAGACUUAACAACACUAAUAUUUAUUCUUUUUAAAAAAGCAUCUUGCAAGGCCGAUGAUUUAACUUUUAAAAAAGAAAAUAGAGAAAGAGAGUUUUCUUUAUUGAUUAAAAUGACAUUAAUUGUCAUUUUAUAAAUGUCUGCGAGUUGGAACUUAAUUUCUCGAGUUAUAAGACUAAACUCUUUCCUUCAAAAAAAAAAAAAAAAAGACUAAACUCUUAUAUUUAGCUAACACAUCAAGUGAGAAAUAAAUGUUUAUUAGAUGUUAGAUUAAUGUUAUUACUUUUACACAUAGCAAGACAAUAAAAAAUGUUAUUACUUUUUAUACAAUAGUGUAUAAUUUUACCAUAAUGAUCUUAUUAAUUUAAUAUCUUCUUUCAUAUACUUCUCUCUCCACAAUAAAUAAUUAAGAGUAAUAUUGAUAAAACAACAUUUAAUAUUGUAUUGAUCUUUAAAAGUGACAGUUAAAUUGAGACAAAUUUUUUCUCCAAAAGAGACUUAAAAAGGAACCUAACUUUACAGAGAUAAAAUUUGACUUAACUUUAAGUGAUGGAAUAUAACCUAUCUGUCUUCGUGCAUGACACUCCACUAAUUAAUAUAUCAUGUCUUCUUCACUUAGUUAUUCUUGGUGUGAAUACUAUGUUGUUGCUGGUGACUGCAUGGAUUUGAAGGGAACACAUAUCCCAUUAUAUAUGUUUGCUGAAGGAAAUAUUUGAGAAUCAUAACACCAAAGCCUUAAAAUUGGAAAGUGUAGUUGGAAGUGAGGCUGAGAGAAAUGACCACCAAACUUAUUGCAUAAAUGUGUUGAUCCGGUGUUUCUAGAGCCCCUAUGGAACCUUAGUACACUUAAUGGGUUGCUACGACGCUAGCAUUUCUAUAUCACUAUUUGGCUAAUUAAGACUACUAUAUAUUCUUCGAUAGGGUUGAUGAUAGGUGGAUGUUGUACCCUUCUGCGGGUAAUUAUUUGUACUUUAAUAGGUGUUUGUGUUUGUAAUAUGUGUUUCUAUUUGUGUUUGUUUUUCAGACCUGUACUAUGGAGUAUUUCAUUUGUAUAUAUCCUAUGAUAUCCACCUCAACUAUUACGCCACGUGGUUCGCGGUUCAUUCCUGACAAAGAUCAUAAACUAUCAGACAACUACAUGACCUAUUUUUAUCGCCUAGAGGUCGACAACAUGAUCUUUAACUCCAAUUAUAAACAUCGUCAGACAUGUCUAUUCGAUGAAAUUUGUUGGAACUCCAGUUGGAUAAAGUGCGACCGCAAGAUGGUUUAUCAGGAGGGCUAGGACUAUUUGCUUGGAUGAGAUGAAAAAUAAUACUUCAUAUGACGACCUACAUGAUACUCUGAAUCGGAUUGCAGAUGAAAUGAAAUCGGCUACUCAAUAUCUAAUUGCACUAAGGAGGGAGCGUUUGUUUUUUAUUUUAUUUUAUAUUUUUUUUUGUUUCAUGUGAAUGAUGUAUGAUGUUGUUGCAAUAAAAAUAUGUUUUUGUUCCGGUGUAAAUUUUUAAUUCAAGCUAACAAGAGUUUAAAGGAAAGAAAGUACAAGACAUCAUCAUAAUGCUUACUAAUCAAUCAUGAUUGCCUCAAAUCUUUCAGGUCAAAUGAUAUACGAUUCUCAGACAUAAUACUUAUCAUUCUA